GCCCCCGGCCCCGGACGCUUCCCCCAGUCGCCGGGUCGGCUGCCCCUCCUCCAGCGGCCCCGCAGGGGAAGCAGGUGGCCGGUUUCUAAAGAAAAAAAGCCAAAACUUUUAUUAUUUACACGUUUGGGCAAAAGUACAAAGUAUAAUACAGGCGCCCAGCCCGGGGGUGCGGGCGCGGGGCGGAGUAACGUAAGGCGCUUCUUUGUCAGGCCCGGGCCUGGGGCGGGACGGGGCGCAGGGCGGGGGGCUCCGAUUGUGCAGCCGCGAGGACCUGGGCCCAGCCCCUUUCCGCGGCCGGCGCUGUGCUGCGCGCCCCAAGGCCCACGCGAGUCGGGCCGCCCUACCCCUCUCGGCCCAGCUUCCCUCCCCAGCCCGGCUGGGGGACCCGGGUGCCCCGCCUG
This 401-nucleotide long non-coding RNA is filed under the name Rattus norvegicus (Norway rat). RNAcentral's name for it is "long non-coding RNA NONRATT004150". Lineage: Eukaryota; Metazoa; Chordata; Mammalia; Rodentia; Muridae. The record is from RNAcentral.